Molecule: ribosomal RNA, 468 nt
Filed under: uncultured bacterium
Lineage: Bacteria
Description: partial 16S ribosomal RNA
Rfam family: Bacterial small subunit ribosomal RNA
Source: RNAcentral
GACGAACGCUGGCGGCGUGCUUAACACAUGCAAGUCGAACGGAAAGGCCCUGCUUUUGUGGGGUGCUCGAGUGGCGAACGGGUGAGUAACACGUGAGUAACCUGCCCUUGACUUUGGGAUAACUUCAGGAAACUGGGGCUAAUACCGGAUAGGAGCUCCUGCUGCAUGGUGGGGGUUGGAAAGUUUCGGCGGUUGGGGAUGGACUCGCGGCUUAUCAGCUUGUUGGUGGGGUAGUGGCUUACCAAGGCUUUGACGGGUAGCCGGCCUGGGAGGGUGACCGGCCACAUUGGGCCUGCGAUACGGCCCAGACUCCUACGGGAGGCAGCAGUGGGGAACAUUGCACAAUGGGCGGAAGCCUGAUGCAGCAACGCCGCGUGCGGGAUGACGGCCUUCGGGUUGUAAACCGCUUUCGCCUGUGACGAAGCGUGAGUGACGGUAAUGGGUAAAGAAGCACCGGCUAACUACGUG